GUUACUUCUCGUGAUGCUGGCCUUGUUAUGACGCAGAAGAAGUACUCUCUGGAUUUGUUGCAGCGAGCUGGGAUGCUUAAGUGCAAACCGACGACUACACCCAUGUCUACCACUGAUAAGCUCAAUGCUGUUGAUGGUGUGCUUCUUUCUUCUUCUGAUGCGACAGAGUACAGGAGUAUUGUUGGUGGGCUCCAGUACUUGACGAUCACGCGACCAGACAUUUCCUAUGCUGUUAACCGAGUCUGCCAGUAUCCGCAGUCACCCCGUGACACUCAUUGGUCUGCUGUUAAGCGGAUUUUGCGCUAUAUUCGUUUCACGGUGGCUCAUGGUUUGCAUAUUCGGCCAUCUGACUCUGGUUGUCUUUCAGCAUAUUCUGAUGCAGACUGGGCUGGCAAUCCGGAUGACAGGCGAUCCACGGGGGGUUAUGCUGUCUUCUUUGGAUCUAACCUGAUUGCCUGGAGUGCUCGGAAACAGGCUACUGUCUCGCGUAGCAGUACUGAGGCUGAGUAUAAGGUUGUGGCCAAUGCCACAUCAGAGAUCAUCUGGGUACAGUCCUUGCUUCAGGAGUUAAGUAUACCCCAAUCACAGCCUCCUGUUCUUUGGUGUGAUAACAUCGGUGCUACAUACCUUUCUGCAAAUCCGGUAUUCCAUGCCCGAACGAAACACAUUGAAGUUGACUAUCACUUUGUGCGUGAACGUGUCUCUCAGAAGCAACUACAGAUCAAGUUUAUUUCUUCCAAGGAUCAACUUGCUGACAUCUUCACCAAGCCAUUGCCUUUGCCACAGUUUGAGACUUGCAGGCGCAAUCUU
RNAcentral lists this ribosomal RNA (810 nucleotides) under Triticum aestivum (bread wheat). RNAcentral describes it as "partial small subunit ribosomal RNA". Lineage: Eukaryota; Viridiplantae; Streptophyta; Magnoliopsida; Poales; Poaceae. The record is from RNAcentral.